RNAcentral lists this transfer RNA (142 nucleotides) under Conocara sp. ASIZP P0913760. RNAcentral's name for it is "tRNA-Ile". The stretch from base 1 to 72 matches the Rfam family "tRNA". From Rfam's summary of the family: Transfer RNA (tRNA) molecules are approximately 80 nucleotides in length. Their secondary structure includes four short double-helical elements and three loops (D, anti-codon, and T loops). The record is from RNAcentral. Lineage: Eukaryota; Metazoa; Chordata; Actinopteri; Alepocephaliformes; Alepocephalidae.
GGAAUUGUGCCCGAAUACCCAAGGACCAUUUUGAUAGAAUGACACAUGAGGGUUAAAAUCCCCCCAAUUCCUUAGAAAGAAGGGGCUCGAACCCAUGCUCAAGAGAUCAAAACUCCAGGUGCUUCCGCUACACCACUUUCUA